Molecule: long non-coding RNA, 297 nt
Filed under: Carica papaya (papaya)
Lineage: Eukaryota; Viridiplantae; Streptophyta; Magnoliopsida; Brassicales; Caricaceae
Description: long non-coding RNA (CPAP_LNC010622)
Source: RNAcentral
UUGAUUGGGUCAGUCACGUGAUUGGGAUGUGCCCAGUGGGGGCCAUUAUCAACGAAAGAUAAACUAAAAAUAUUUGCUUUGAAACAGAUCUAUCUGCCAUCAUUUUAGUUGCCACGGUAUUAUCAUUUAUUUAUAGGCUGUCUAAUUGCCCCAAAACUUCACUGCAUUCGUUUGUUGCUACCCUUUGAUGGAGUAUAUUAUAUACAGUGACCUUAAUAUAUAAAUAUAUCGUAAAUGCCACUGCCAUUGAGGCAGUUUGAAUAAUUGACUAACCUUUAUAGUGUUUUUACUUCCCAU